CUUUAUUGUAAAGUUAAAGGGGUCUGAGGAGCAUUUGACGGGUGUACUCAACGGGAAGCCCUCUAAGUGGUUGCGUAAGCAAGCAUCUUUCCAGGUGCCUGUCUACAUAGACAGUGAGGAAGAGCAAGAUAUCCCUUUGCUUAUCUUAAAGACGUACUGCACAGGACACCAACAAAACUGAGGUUUACAGAUGAAGUGCAGCUUAUCUGUGAUGUCCUUUUUCCAGAGGCCAUCAUACAUGCUCUGGGGGUCUUGAGGGGUUUGUCUUUAGAUGAUGCUGAGCAGGUCUACCUUUCUGGCACAAAAUAUCAUUACAGUGAAGUAGAAUAAUUUAGUCGAAAAAUUGACAAAAAAUCUAGGAAAGAAGGGAGACCAUUCAAUAGGUGGGUAUUGCUCUUAUAUACCUAAAAAUUUGCAGCUGGCAGUUGGGUGUCCUUUUUGGUUCUCCUAACAGUGCAUAAGUUUAAACCAGAAAUAUAUAUUACAGUUAAACAUGGUAAAAUAUAUUUUUUAUUACUUAUAAUAAAUAUUAAUUUAAAUUUAAUUGCAUAAC
This is a long non-coding RNA of Danio aesculapii, 553 nucleotides long. RefSeq lists it as uncharacterized. Lineage: Eukaryota; Metazoa; Chordata; Actinopteri; Cypriniformes; Danionidae. The transcript has 4 exons. The record is from RefSeq and is a predicted model, not a curated record.